GAUAAACGCUGGCGGCGUGCCUAACACAUGCAAGUCGAACGCCCUUACGCAAGUAAGGGAGUGGCGGACGGGUGAGGAACACGUGGGUGAUCUGCCUUGAGGUGAGGAAUACCGGCGAGAAAUCGCCGACAAUACCGCAUACGUUCGCAAGAACAAAGUCGCAAGACGCCUUGAGAUGAGCCUGCGUCCGAUUAGCUAGUUGGUGGGUAAAAGCCUACCAAGGCAGCGAUCGGUAGCUGGUCUGAGAGGACGAUCGGCCACACUGGGA
Molecule: ribosomal RNA, 268 nt
Filed under: uncultured bacterium
Lineage: Bacteria
Description: partial 16S ribosomal RNA
Rfam family: Bacterial small subunit ribosomal RNA
Source: RNAcentral